RNAcentral lists this ribosomal RNA (482 nucleotides) under uncultured bacterium. RNAcentral describes it as "bacterial SSU rRNA". It matches the Rfam family "Bacterial small subunit ribosomal RNA", at positions 30 to 506 of the family's 1533-position model. The record is from RNAcentral.
UUGAACGCUGGCGGCAGGCUUAACACAUGCAAGUCGAGCGGCGAGAGGUAGCUUGCUACUGAUCUUAGCGGCGGACGGGUGAGUAAUACUUAGGAAUCUGGCUAUUAGUGGGGGACAACAUUUCGAAAGGGAUGCUAAUACCGCAUACGUCCUACGGGAGAAAGCAGGGGAUCUUCGGACCUUGCGCUAAUAGAUGAGCCUAAGUCGGAUUAGCUAGUUGGUGGGGUAAAGGCCUACCAAGGCGACGAUCUGUAGCUGGUCUGAGAGGAUGAUCCGCCACACUGGGACUGAGACACGGCCCAGACUCCUACGGGAGGCAGCAGUGGGGAAUAUUGGACAAUGGGGGGAACCCUGAUCCAGCCAUGCCGCGUGUGUGAAGAAGGCCUUAUGGUUGUAAAGCCCUUUCGACCGGGAGGAAGGCACCGGCGCGAAUAGCGUUGGUGGUUGACGUAACCUGCAGAAGAAGCACCGGCUAACUCCGU